Molecule: ribosomal RNA, 498 nt
Filed under: Empecamenta sp. DA0634
Lineage: Eukaryota; Metazoa; Arthropoda; Insecta; Coleoptera; Scarabaeidae
Description: partial 16S large subunit ribosomal RNA
Rfam family: Bacterial large subunit ribosomal RNA
Source: RNAcentral
UUUAAGGUCUGACCUGCCCAAUGAUUAUUUAAAUGGCCGCGGUACUUUGACCGUGCAAAGGUAGCAUAAUAAUUAGUUUCUUAAUUGGAAGCUGGAAUGAACGGUUGGACGAGAGGGCUACUGUCUCAGAUUAAUUUUAUUUUAGAAUUUUAUUUUUGAGUUAAAAAGCUCAAAUUUAUUUAAAAGACGAGAAGACCCUAUAGAGUUUUAUAAUAAUAAAUUUUGUAGAUUUUUAGAAUUUAAUUUUGUAUUAUUUUUAUUAUUAUUUUGUUGGGGUGAUGGGAAAAUUGAAUUAACUUUUCUUUUAUUUUUUCAUUAAUUUAUGUUUUUUUGAUCCAUUGUUUAUGAUUAAAAGAUUAAAUUACCUUAGGGAUAACAGCGUAAUUUUUUUUUAGAGUUCUUAUCGAAAGAAGAGUUUGCGACCUCGAUGUUGGAUUAAAAUUUAUGUUAGGUGUAGGGGCUUAAUAAUUAGGUCUGUUCGACCUUUAGAAUUUUACA